Molecule: ribosomal RNA, 301 nt
Filed under: uncultured bacterium
Lineage: Bacteria
Description: partial 16S ribosomal RNA
Rfam family: Bacterial small subunit ribosomal RNA
Source: RNAcentral
CAGUCGCCACGGGAACACGUAGGUGGCGAGCGUUGCCGGAAUUACUGGGCGUAAAGGGAGCGCAGGCGGGCGAGUAAGUCUUUCUUAAAAGUGCGGGGCUCAACCCCGUGAGGGGAGAGAAACUACUCAUCUUGAGUGCAGGAGAGGAAAGCGGAAUUCCUAGUGUAGCGGUGAAAUGCGUAGAUAUUAGGAAGAACACCAGUGGCGAAGGCGGCUUUCUGGACUGUAACUGACGCUGAGGCUCGAAAGCCAGGGGAGCGAACGGGAUUAGAUACCCCUGUAGUCCCUGUCUCUUAUACAA